Non-coding RNA from Aegilops tauschii subsp. strangulata, 3056 nucleotides. Lineage: Eukaryota; Viridiplantae; Streptophyta; Magnoliopsida; Poales; Poaceae. The record is from RefSeq and is a predicted model, not a curated record.
CGAGCUUGCAGGGGCUUGGGGCAGAUCCGGAGGCGGGGGUCGCCGGUGACGACGAGGAAGGCCUGAGCACGGGCGGAUCCAUGGCAUCCGCGGCUCCUCGGCACAAAGGAGACAGGGAGGCGAGGGAGAGAAGAAGGAAGAAAGGAGGGGUUGUGCAGCGACCUAGCGAGGAGCUCGCCGGAGCUGGGCGAAGGCGGACUGGCGCGGGAGACGGAGGGGUCCGGCGCGGCGGCGCGAAGUCCUUGCAGGUGGAGGCAGGCGUCGAAGCAGAGGACGAGAGGAUCCCCGGCCUAAUUGUGGCGUGCAGUCAGCUUCCCCGAUCCAUCCUCCUACCCAUCCGACCCUUACUCGAUGGCCCGCGUGCGACGAGGCCCUACGCGGGGUAAGAAGGGGGAUCACGCGAGGUGGAGCACUCCAGCCCCCUCCUAGCCCUACCACGGUGAGGCCUCCUUUCCCUCUCUCCCUGCCUGAGCCAUAGGCUGGCGGCGCUGAGGUCGAUCUGCUCAUGCACACACGGUUGUUGUGACAUGGUGACAGCCACGCCCCACUUUUUCUUCCAGUUCCUUGUUUUUGUGGUGGAUGCAUCCAUGAUUAUUUGUUUCAACGAUUGAUUUUCAGUUUAGUCAAUCAAACCCAUUCCGAUGCUGCUCUUUUACUUGUACAAAUAAACUAUUGUUCACUAAACUGAGCAGCUAGCUACUGGUGUCUCAAAGAUUAAGCGCAGGUUGGUACUUAUGGGCAGGCCUGCCUCAAGUAGAGGAAGAAGAGGAGGCCUGAAAGAGAGAGGCCGCAAGGUAGAAGCCUUUUGAUUAGGAGGUAGUCCAGCAAGUUGGACGAACUGCUGAUAAAGAGAUAAUUCUAUUCUGAAUUUUUAUCUGAAAAGCAGGAUUGGAUCACGGAUGUAUGUUGGCUAUGUCUCUCACGAAAUUUGUUGAAGCUAAAGAUGAAGAGGAACUCGUGGAAGAGGAAAAGAAAUGACAUGGUAGAAAUUCAUUCACACAUAUCAGUGUCAUAGUGAGAGGAUUGAUCUGCUUGAUUCGCUCCUGAUGGUCGGUGGAUUGUUUCUGGUAGAGCUGAGAGUUCUGUGAAGGUAAGAUUUUGAUCCAGCCUAUUAAGCAGUACCACACAAAUUAUAGGAGAAUCUAUUGUUUGGUCCAACCUAUAAAGGUGCCAUAUAUGCUCAGUUGCUCACAACAGUGCUAAUAUUAACAAGGUGAAUAAACUCAUGCUCUAGCGGAGGAUAUCCUUUAUAUUUUGGGGGUCACUGAUUGUUGAUUUGACAGGUGGAAAGCUCUUGCAUGACUUUAGCUACCUGAAGGUCCGCUUAAACUGUUCAGGUUUUCUUCCCCAGGAGUUUUUACUAGCCACAUGUCAGAUGGUGAUAGUACGUUAUACAACCUAUACAAAAACAUAAGAUGUGUUCCCGGAUAACAUCUUUCCUCCAAAAUAAUUUACAUAUCAUCUAGACUUGGUUAGUUGUAACUUUUGCUUUCUGUUCUUUCCACAAGCUUCUGUAGGUUCAAAUUAUAAUUGUUAAAUUUUGGGACCUUAAGACUUUUUAGUUGAUUGCAUCCUCUAGACCGGGAGGUAUAAUAGCAUCUCCUAAUUGUCUAAUUGAUGAUUCAGAAAGCUCUGGCUCUACUCAUGUAUAUUCAGAUUGUGAAGUACUCCUUCUAUAAAGAAAUAUAGGAGCGUUUAGUUCUAUAAAACAUAUUUAUAUGCAGUUAUCCAACAAAUUUAUGUCCUAAAAUCUUACAACUUCUCUUAAGCUGUAUUUGAUCAUAACCUUGGCUUAAAUGGAAAUUAAUUUCAACCUCAAAUUUGGUGAUUUUUUGAAUGGGCACAACUGUGUCGGUAGAGGUUGACAGUUAUGAAUUUUGUGAUAAUCUUCGAUUAUACUGUUAUAUAUAGCACUUUCCUGUUAUAUGGUUCACAUUCUCUGAGCCAAUUCACAAUGACCAUUCCAAAUUUGGGCCUUGCGUUUUUAAAUUAUUUUGUAACAUUUUGGUUGAUCUUUGAUACUGCUCCUUAAUUUUUUACAUUGACUGGUGUAGAACUAAAUGAGUGUUGCCAUUCAAGGGAAGCCCCAAGCUUUAAAACACUAUAUGAAUGUUGUUAGCUCGGUCCUUCACAAAUAAGUCCCUUGAUGUGUGUCAUCUGUCAUUGCGUAUAACAUCUGGUCUUUCUAUUUUUCAUUGAUUUUUCUUCUCCCGGUGCACUGAAUCUGCAAGGGCGUGUAGACGGCAGGAUGAGCAGCAGCAUACCGGUGGUAAGACAGGGCGUGUUGGCGUACGCGAAGCAGCCAUGCAUGAAUCUUGGCGGCGGAUGCUUGCUGGCCGUAGUAGCAGCAUCAAUUCAAGCUGGGAGGCGGGAAGCUGGAGUAGCCGGAACGAUUGGUCGUCCAUUAGGCAUCAACCCAACUCCACCGUACUCCCUUUUCUUUCCAUAACCAAUUCUUUGGAGCAGACAUGUGGGUACAGUUACAUAGCCUGAAGAUUGUUUGCUUUUUUUGGCUAGUUCAGAUUUAGAUUUCUCAGAUUUUCACUAUUUGAUCAAUCGAUCCAUGUAGAUCUCAUUGACAUGGUUUGUCGAAUGUACCUUUCAGCAUUUACCCUGAUUAGUUAAAUGCCUAGCUGGUGAUAAGAGGAAGAGGAUGAUCAGGAAAGCAUGGAGUUGAGCGAAUCAGUACAGGAAGAAAGGUCGUUCAGGAAUAAAUAGUAGAGGAAGAAAGGGAGGAGCAGCACUGCAGCAGUCAAGGUUGGGCUUGGUGGCCUCGACGCCUAUGACCUCCUCUAUGCCAAGCCUCGCAUCACCCAGUUAUUAUGUUAUCUGCUUCCAUGCAUUUACUGGUGUAUAGAAAUAUGAUUAUCUGAUGUAUGACUUAGCUGAGUUCCCUCUUUAUGUAACAAGGCUCUCUUUUAAAGUUGUUCGCUGUCCUCAUUCCUCGUGAUCUCUGAAUCAGUAUUUAGUUGAUAACUGUGGCAACAAAGGAUCGUUUGCAAACAAGGUUCUCACCCCUUAUAUUUAUUUUGGCAUGGAAAAGCACUGUGAUUAAA